UGUCAUGGUCCGCGGCCCGGCGUCCGGGGUGCUGCUGGGAUGUCCACGCCCACGAGCGUGGCUGCUAACCCCACACCUGCAUCCCAUCCCAGGCGAUCACCAGGUGGACUAUUUAAUCCUGCCCUACCUGCUGCUCCACGCCAGUCCGUAGUCGCCUCUCAGCGAUCAUAACUCGGCGUGUUUUUUUUCGAGCCACCUGCCUGUCCACCUGUGCGCCUGAGAUUUGGUUCACAUUCAGCUUCGCCGUCUCGACCCCUUUUGGAGCUCCACCCCCCUCUGAUUCACUCGGCCCGGCUAUCACCCCUCUCACAGCCCCGCUCUCGGCGUUCCCUGUGCGGUCCCUCGGUUUCGUCUGGUU
Long non-coding RNA from Astatotilapia calliptera (eastern happy), 358 nucleotides. The record is from Ensembl. NCBI's taxonomy places the organism in Eukaryota, Metazoa, Chordata, Actinopteri, Cichliformes, Cichlidae.